UACGAAGGGGGCUAGCGUUGUUCGGAUUUACUGGGCGUAAAGCGCACGUAGGCGGAUAUUUAAGUCAGAGGUGAAAUCCCAGGACUCAACCCUGGAACUGCCUUUGAUACUGGAUAUCUUGAGUAUGGAAGAGGUAAGUGGAAUUCCGAGUGUAGAGGUAAAAUUCGUAGAUAUUCGGAGGAACACCAGUGGCGAAGGCGGCUCACUGGUCCAUUACUGACGCUGAGGUGCGAAAGCGUGGGGAGCGAACA
Molecule: ribosomal RNA, 251 nt
Filed under: uncultured Bartonella sp.
Lineage: Bacteria; Pseudomonadati; Pseudomonadota; Alphaproteobacteria; Hyphomicrobiales; Bartonellaceae
Description: partial 16S ribosomal RNA
Rfam family: Bacterial small subunit ribosomal RNA
Source: RNAcentral